RNAcentral lists this ribosomal RNA (579 nucleotides) under uncultured bacterium. RNAcentral's name for it is "partial 16S ribosomal RNA". It matches the Rfam family "Bacterial small subunit ribosomal RNA", at positions 355 to 925 of the family's 1533-position model. The record is from RNAcentral.
UGGGGAAUAUUGCACAAUGGGCGCAAGCCUGAUGCAGCCAUGCCGCGUGUGUGAAGAAGGCCUUCGGGUUGUAAAGCACUUUCAGCGAGGAGGAAGGUGGUGAGCUUAAUACGCUCAUCAAUUGACGUUACUCGCAGAAGAAGCACCGGCUAACUCCGUGCCAGCAGCCGCGGUAAUACGGAGGGUGCAAGCGUUAAUCGGAAUUACUGGGCGUAAAGCGCACGCAGGCGGUUUGUUAAGUCAGAUGUGAAAUCCCCGGGCUCAACCUGGGAACUGCAUUUGAAACUGGCAAGCUAGAGUCUCGUAGAGGGGGGUAGAAUUCCAGGUGUAGCGGUGAAAUGCGUAGAGAUCUGGAGGAAUACCGGUGGCGAAGGCGGCCCCCUGGACGAAGACUGACGCUCAGGUGCGAAAGCGUGGGGCAGCAAACAGGAUUAGAUACCCUGGUAGUCCACGCUGUAAACGAUGUCGAUUCGGAGGUUGUGCCCUUGAGGCGUGGCUUCCGGAGCUAACGCGUUAAAUCGACCGCCUGGGGAGUACGGCCGCAAGGUUAAAACUCAAAUGAAUUGACGGGGUCAUAGC